CUACGGGGGGCAGCAGUGAGGAAUAUUGCGCAAUGGGGGGAACCCUGAUGCAGCAACGCCGCGUGGAGGAUGACGCAUUUCGGUGUGUAAACUCCUUUUAUAUGUCAAGAAAAUGACGGUAGCAUAUGAAUAAGCACCGGCUAACUCCGUGCCAGCAGCCGCGGUAAUACGGAGGGUGCAAGCGUUACUCGGAAUCACUGGGCGUAAAGGACGCGUAGGCGGGUUGGAAAGUCAGGUGUGAAAUCCUACAGCUUAACUGUAGAACUGCACUUGAAACUUCUAAUCUAGAGUAUGGGAGGGGGAGAUGGAAUUAGUGGUGUAGGGGUAAUAUCCGUAGAUAUCACUAGGAAUACCUAAAGCGAAGGCGAUCUCCUGGAACAUUACUGACGCCAAGGCGUGAAAGCGUGGGGAGCAAACAGGAUUAGAUACCCGAGUAGUC
RNAcentral lists this ribosomal RNA (439 nucleotides) under uncultured bacterium. RNAcentral describes it as "partial 16S ribosomal RNA". It matches the Rfam family "Bacterial small subunit ribosomal RNA", at positions 339 to 795 of the family's 1533-position model. The record is from RNAcentral.